Molecule: ribosomal RNA, 439 nt
Filed under: uncultured bacterium
Lineage: Bacteria
Description: bacterial SSU rRNA
Rfam family: Bacterial small subunit ribosomal RNA
Source: RNAcentral
GCUAAACGCGAAGAACCUUACCUACUCUUGNACAUCCAGAGAACUUAGCAGAGAUGCUUUGGUGCCUUCGGGAACUCUGAGACAGGUGCUGCAUGGCUGUCGUCAGCUCGUGUUGUGAAAUGUUGGGUUAAGUCCCGCAACGAGCGCAACCCUUAUCCUUUGUUGCCAGCGGUUCGGCCGGGAACUCAAAAGAGACUGCCAGUGAUAAACUGGAGGAAGGUGGGGAUGACGUCAAGUCAUCAUGGCCCUUACGAGUAGGGCUACACACGUGCUACAAUGGCGUAUACAAAGAGAAGCGACCUCGCGAGAGCAAGCGGACCUCAUAAAGUACGUCGUAGUCCGGAUUGGAGUCUGCAACUCGACUCCAUGAAGUCGGAAUCGCUAGUAAUCGUAGAUCAGAAUGCUACGGUGAAUACGUUCCCGGGUCUUGUACACACCG